This 427-nucleotide ribosomal RNA is filed under the name uncultured Lysobacter sp. Its description in RNAcentral is "bacterial SSU rRNA". It matches the Rfam family "Bacterial small subunit ribosomal RNA", at positions 355 to 774 of the family's 1533-position model. Lineage: Bacteria; Pseudomonadati; Pseudomonadota; Gammaproteobacteria; Lysobacterales; Lysobacteraceae. The record is from RNAcentral.
UGGGGAAUAUUGGACAAUGGGCGCAAGCCUGAUCCAGCCAUGCCGCGUGAGUGAAGAAGGCCUUCGGGUUGUAAAGCUCUUUUGUUGGGGAAGAAAAGCACGGGAUUAAUACUUCUGUGUUCUGACGGUACCCAAAGAAUAAGCACCGGCUAACUUCGUGCCAGCAGCCGCGGUAAUACGAAGGGUGCAAGCGUUACUCGGAAUUACUGGGCGUAAAGCGUGCGUAGGUGGUUCGUUAAGUCUGAUGUGAAAGCCCCGGGCUCAACCUGGGAACUGCAUUGGAUACUGGCGAUCUGGAGUGCGGUAGAGGGUGGCGGAAUUCCCGGUGUAGCAGUGAAAUGCGUAGAUAUCGGGAGGAACAUCCGUGGCGAAGGCGGCCACCUGGACCAGCACUGACACUGAGGCACGAAAGCGUGGGGAGCAAACA